AGAGCCAUGAGAAUAAAUAGAGGUGUAAGUUUUUUUAAUAAAAAAAAAAACAACAUUGUUCAAAGAUCUUCAUAAAACUGUUAUUUUCAUCAAAGGCAUCUUCUCAUCUCUCCUUUUGCAAACAUCUGAAAGACAUUUCCACAACUGCGACUUUGAAUUCAUCGAGUACUUAGCCAAUAUAUGUAAAUGGGUUUGACAUCUAAUUUCUCCGACGGAGAGAUUUGAAGCCUUCACGAAUUGGGUCUUCAUUUUCCAACCAAAGCUUCUGUCAGUUCGGCAAAUCUUCUGGCUUAUUUCCUUUGUUUGACGGUGUUUGUUGCUUCUACAACAUAAAUUUGGCAUGGCUUUUGUUAGUUGGAAAGUUUGAUUUCCUACGAGGCUGCCAUUGUUUUAAAGGUGUUGACGAUGUGGAUUGAAAUGUAGCAGCAUGCGGUGUCCGACAGAGGUUUAGGUUUUUUAAUAAUUUUGUAUGAACAGGAACGGUGUAAAGUACAAAUGGUAGUACAAUUCGAAUUUCUCCAACUAAAAUAAUCUUUUAAAAGAAAAAAUGUUUAUAAUGGUAUUUGUCUAUAUAUAAAUAUACCCUUUUAAGUGAU
Long non-coding RNA from Ziziphus jujuba (common jujube), 596 nucleotides. RefSeq lists it as uncharacterized. The record is from RefSeq and is a predicted model, not a curated record. The transcript is spliced from 3 exons. NCBI's taxonomy places the organism in Eukaryota, Viridiplantae, Streptophyta, Magnoliopsida, Rosales, Rhamnaceae.